This 483-nucleotide ribosomal RNA is filed under the name uncultured bacterium. Its description in RNAcentral is "partial 16S ribosomal RNA". It matches the Rfam family "Bacterial small subunit ribosomal RNA", at positions 29 to 507 of the family's 1533-position model. The record is from RNAcentral.
AUUGAACGCUGGCGGAAUGCUUUACACAUGCAAGUCGAACGGCAGCACGGGGGCAGCCCUGGUGGCGAGUGGCGAACGGGUGAGUAAUACAUCGGAACGUGCCCGGUCGUGGGGGAUAACGUAGCGAAAGUUACGCUAAUACCGCAUACGAUCUGAGGAUGAAAGCGGGGGACCUUCGGGCCUCGCGCGAUCGGAGCGGCCGAUGUCAGAUUAGGUAGUUGGUGGGGUAAAGGCCUACCAAGCCGACGAUCUGUAGCUGGUCUGAGAGGACGACCAGCCACACUGGGACUGAGACACGGCCCAGACUCCUACGGGAGGCAGCAGUGGGAAUUUUGGACAAUGGGCGCAAGCCUGAUCCAGCCAUUCCGCGUGCAGGACGAAGGCCUUCGGGUUGUAAACUGCUUUUGUACGGAACGAAAAGGCUCUGGCUAAUACCUGGGGCUCAUGACGGUACCGGAAGAAUAAGCACCGGCUAACUACGUG